CUACGUGCCAGCAGCCGCGGUAAUACGUAGGGUGCGAGCGUUAAUCGGAAUUACUGGGCGUAAAGCGAGCGCAGACGGUUACUUAAGCAGGAUGUGAAAUCCCCGGGCUCAACCUGGGAACUGCGUUCUGAACUGGGUGACUAGAGUGUGUCAGAGGGAGGUAGAAUUCCACGUGUAGCAGUGAAAUGCGUAGAGAUGUGGAGGAAUACCGAUGGCGAAGGCAGCCUCCUGGGAUAACACUGACGUUCAUGCUCGAAAGCGUGGGUAGCAAACAGGAUUAGAUACCCUGGUGGUCCACGCCCUAAACGAUGUCAAUUAGCUGUUGGGCAACUUGAUUGCUUAGUAGCGUAGCUAACGCGUGAAAUUGACCGCCUGGGGAGUACGGUCGCAAGAUUAAAACUCAAAGGAAUUGACGGGGACCCGCACAAGCGGUGGAUGAUGUGGAUUAAUUCGAUGCAACGCGAAGAACCUUACCUGGUCUUGACAU
Molecule: ribosomal RNA, 487 nt
Filed under: uncultured bacterium
Lineage: Bacteria
Description: bacterial SSU rRNA
Rfam family: Bacterial small subunit ribosomal RNA
Source: RNAcentral